GCCACCCCCGGGAAUCCCGCGCUGUACUCCAGAGCUCGGCUUGGCCCCCCUAGCCCCCCAGCUGCCCAUGAAUUGGAGUCCCUUGUGCACCCCCAUCCCCAGGACUGGUCCCCGCCACCCUCAGACGUGGAGGACAGGGCUGAAGUGCACAGCCUUAUGGGUGGCGGUGUUUCUGAAGGCCGGAGUCACUCCAAAAGAAAGAUCUCCUGGGCUCAACCAAGCGGGCUGAGCUGGGCUGGUUCCUGGGCAGGCUGUGAGCUGCCCCAGGCAGGCCCCCGGCCGGCUCUGACCCGGGCCCUGCUGCCCCCUGCUGGAACUGGGCAGACGCUGUUGCUGCAGGCUCUGGUGUACGACGCCAUAAAGGUCAGCGUCCUGGAAGGAAGGGGCAGGAAAGGAGGAAAGGGUCUCUGUGCUUGUGAAGAGGAAGUAAUGAGUUCUCUGGAGACCCCUGGGUGGUAACUUCCCUGGG
Molecule: small RNA, 469 nt
Filed under: Pan troglodytes (chimpanzee)
Lineage: Eukaryota; Metazoa; Chordata; Mammalia; Primates; Hominidae
Description: retained intron
Source: RNAcentral